CCUCCCUGGCAAUGGGAAAGGUGUUGCCUGGUGGCGGUGUCGCUCUUAUAUCUGUCAGGGGCAGAGCAGAUGGCGGUCCUUUGUACAUCCUAGCUUGAUGCCUGGUUUGGUGACCAAAACUGUUUUAUGCCUAGGACACAUGA
This is a small nucleolar RNA of Apodemus sylvaticus (European woodmouse), 143 nucleotides long. RefSeq annotates it as small nucleolar RNA SNORA48. The record is from RefSeq and is a predicted model, not a curated record. The transcript has a single exon. NCBI's taxonomy places the organism in Eukaryota, Metazoa, Chordata, Mammalia, Rodentia, Muridae.